UACAGGAGGUCUCAAGCGUUGUUCGGAUUCAUUGGGCGUAAAGGGCGCGUAGGCGGCAAGGUAAGUCGGGUGUGAAAGCUUGGGGCUUAACCCCGAAAGGGCACUCGAAACUGCCCUGCUAGAGGGCCGGAGAGGAGAUCGGAAUUCACGGUGUAGCAGUGAAAUGCGUAGAGCUCGAGUGAGGAAGACCGGUGGCGAAGGCGGAUCUCUGGACGGCCCUGACGCUGAGGCGCG
RNAcentral lists this ribosomal RNA (234 nucleotides) under uncultured bacterium. RNAcentral describes it as "partial 16S ribosomal RNA". It matches the Rfam family "Bacterial small subunit ribosomal RNA", at positions 524 to 755 of the family's 1533-position model. The record is from RNAcentral.